RNAcentral lists this ribosomal RNA (389 nucleotides) under uncultured microorganism. RNAcentral describes it as "bacterial SSU rRNA". It matches the Rfam family "Archaeal small subunit ribosomal RNA", at positions 330 to 720 of the family's 1478-position model. The record is from RNAcentral.
GUGCACCAGGCGAGAAUCCUCCGCAAUGCGGGAAACCGUGACGGGGUCACCCCGAGUGCCACCCGAUGAGGGUGGCUUUUCCCCGGUCUAAAAAGCCGGGGGCAAUAAGCGGGGGGCAAGUCUGGUGUCAGCCGCCGCGGUAAUACCAGCCCCGCGAGUGGUCGGGACGUUUAUUGGGCCUAAAGCGUCCGUAGCCGGCUCGGUAAGUCCCUCCUUAAAUCCACGGGCUCAACCCGUGGGCUGGGAGGGAUACUGCCGGGCUAGGGGGCGGGAGAGGCCGAGGGUACUCCCGGGGUAGGGGCGAAAUCCGUUAAUCCCGGGAGGACCACCAGUGGCGAAGGCGCUCGGCUGGAACGCGCCCGACGGUGAGGGACGAAGGCUGGGGGAGC